AGUGAACGCUGGCGGUAGGCCUAACACAUGCAAGUCGAACGGCAGCACAGUAAGAGCUUGCUCUUACGGGUGGCGAGUGGCGGACGGGUGAGGAAUAUAUCGGAAUCUACUUUUUCGUGGGGGAUAACGUAGGGAAACUUACGCUAAUACCGCAUACGACCUACGGGUGAAAGCAGGGGAUCUUCGGACCUUGCGCGAUUGAAUGAGCCGAUGUCGGAUUAGCUAGUUGGCGGGGUAAAGGCCCACCAAGGCGACGAUCCGUAGCUGGUCUGAGAGGAUGAUCAGCCACACUGGAACUGAGACACGGUCCAGACUCCUACGGGAGGCAGCAGUGGGGAAUAUUGGACAAUGGGCGCAAGCCUGAUCCAGCCAUACCGCGUGGGUGAAGAAGGCCUUCGGGUUGUAAAGCCCUUUUGUUGGGAAAGAAAAGCAGCAGGUUAAUACCCCGCUGUUCUGACGGUACCCAAAGAAUAAGCACCGGCUAACUUCGCG
This 492-nucleotide ribosomal RNA is filed under the name uncultured bacterium. RNAcentral describes it as "partial 16S ribosomal RNA". It matches the Rfam family "Bacterial small subunit ribosomal RNA", at positions 29 to 507 of the family's 1533-position model. The record is from RNAcentral.